Long non-coding RNA from Syngnathoides biaculeatus (alligator pipefish), 2168 nucleotides. RefSeq lists it as uncharacterized. The record is from RefSeq and is a predicted model, not a curated record. The transcript has 4 exons. NCBI's taxonomy places the organism in Eukaryota, Metazoa, Chordata, Actinopteri, Syngnathiformes, Syngnathidae.
AUAAAUAAAAUAUGCAUUAUACAUAAUUAUGAAAAAAUUCAGUAUGAAUUUUAAAAUGUUUGUGUCACAAGUAUGAGCACUAGUGGGAUAUAAUCAUGUGAGCAGUUGUCAUAAUAAUACUUAAAUGAUACAAAGUUAGUUUUCAUAAAAUUACCCAUUUUAUAGCAUUUAUUGACAUUCCUUUGUGCAUCAUCACUUGUUUUGUUCAUGUGAUGUAUGAAAUACUGUAUUUGUAGUAAUAGUUAAUAAUUCAACCACCAUGUUCUUAUUUAAUUAAUUGUGGAUCAUCACUUGUUUUGUAGGUGACGUAUGGAAUAUUGUAUUUGUAAAAAUAGUUAAUAAUUCAACCACCAUGUUCUUAAUUAAUUUGUGAUCAUAGCCAUUCACACCCCGGAGCCAUCACGUCUCUUACGUCAUAUCUACAAUCGCUACCGGUGACAUCAUCACACGCUCGUCAUCACCUUUCUGGUAAAAGUACAACCGACCGGCCCGGCUACGAGAAGUUUCUUAUGCUUUUUUUUUUUUUUUUUAAAUACGACUUUUUUUUCCGGGAGAAGCCAUCACGUGGGAGGCCCCUUUAAGUUGCCAUUGACUGAGGCCCGAGCGUGUCACAUGGACAUGAUAUCAUGACCGGGCAGGAACGCAGUAGCGAGCAAACGAGCGAGGGAGCGAGGCCACUUCUUCUUCUUGGCUUCAGAGGAGGUGGAGGAAAGAAGCAAAAAAAAAAAAAAAAAAAAAAAAAAAACACGCGCAGUCAUCUGACGACCAGCGGUGGUGACGAAGAUCGGGAUCGCGGGACUCGGACUUGCCGAUUAUACAAUACACCUGCCGGCGACUGCGACGCGCUUUUCAAGGCAAGCCGACGGAGAAAACGUCAUUCACGGUCCCGCGGAGCGGCGCCUUUCUGAGCGCUUUGCUCGGAGGUUAGUGUACGAGGCGCAAAAUAGCAGGCCGCAUCAUUGGAAGGACGCACUCCUGGAAUGAAGACUGAGGCGGCGUGGCUCAAUAUGGACGAUGACAUUGGCGUCGAGCGUGGGAGUCGGGGCCUGACACGAACAUCUUUGUGCCUCCACGUGUCGCUUCCUGGGGGACAGAAUGGAACAGGAAGCCCGUGGAAGAGCGCGCCACACCUCCACAGAGAGGCCUUUCUUUCCAAAACGCCACUUAUCCUCACAAGGGGCACGGGAAAGCUGGAGCCUCUCCCAGCAUGCUUUGGGCGAAAGGUGGACUACACCCUGAACUGGUUGCCAGUCAGUCGCAGGGCAGAUAUGGACACCAUCACUGAGCGGGAAUCGAUCCCACGCUGCCCGCACCAAAGGCAGGCAGGCGUGUGUACCAUGACACCAUCAGUGGCUUUAAUGUAAUUAUUUACUUUUCAAAUAUGUUAUAGAUAUUUAUGUGAAGAAAAAUUUUAUUUGACAGUAAAUUUAAAUUAUGAUUAGCAAUAAAACACUUCAAGUCUCUUUCAAAGAAUUGUCUGCAAAACUGCUGUUUGUUGUGAACUGAGUUGCUUCUAAAGUAUGUCAAUUUCUUGUUUUGUUUUUUUCUUUUUUGCCUUGACUUGUUUUUGCAAGACAUUUCUGGUACAUUAUCUUCAUCUUAUUUUUCUCCAUAAUUCUGCUGCAAGACGCAAGGCUACAUUAGAACUCCAAAGUACCAGACUAUCUUCCUGUAAACGUGUACAUUUCCAGUUCAUUGCCAUGAUUUUCCACAGAGCCUUGAAGUUCAUUUUUUACGGCAAGGUUGGUGGAAUAAGAGCCCUCAAACGUCUGCCCCCAGAAGCUGGUUUCACGUGGUGGUUUAGAUGUGUGUUGCUUCUGUCUAGCACCAUUUGAAAUCAGUGUUCUUGAGGACAGCAGCGCGGCCGUGAGGUGGCGGUCGAGGUCAACGGUCAGACCUUCACGUGUUCCUUUUCCUCCACUACAAGAUAACUGAUUUCCUAUGGUGCAUAGAGCCCUCAACGUUGUCCUUCUAGCACCAUUUGAAAUCGGUUAUAAAACCGUGGAUCAAUGCAGCCGGUGCGUGGAACACAAGUUGUGAAGACUACACGUGACAUUUUUUUAAAAUGGUUUGGAAUUGAAAUAAAAAAUUUCUGUUAAGUGUGUGUGCAAUGGGCUUUUAUUAGCUGCCUGUAGCUGUUAUUAUUAAUAUUACUACACACAAGAGUA